This 533-nucleotide small RNA is filed under the name Oryza sativa Japonica Group (Japanese rice). RNAcentral's name for it is "sRNA Os01g0137066". Lineage: Eukaryota; Viridiplantae; Streptophyta; Magnoliopsida; Poales; Poaceae. The record is from RNAcentral.
CGCAAAUCGAUGGUCUCAUGCCACCAUCCGAGCAAAGGCAUGCGAACGCCGAUGUGCUGGCAUCGUACCGGCACCUCCCGCCGCUCGCUGUGCAGGCGUUGCAGUCGCCAACAGGUUCCCACUCCAACAGAAACCCGCCCGCUAUAAGCUGUCUGUAAUUUGCCGCUGUCAUGUCGGCGGCGUUGCUGGACCCAAGCACCAGGAACACUGAAAGCUCGCAACCACCAUUCUCCCGGUUGCUCUGGCUGAUACUGAACCUGUCAGUGAUCGCGAAGGCGGAGGACACGUUGAACAUGACGGUGCACGCAGCAUCGGCAGCGAGGAGGGCGUGCACGGCCACGAGGGAGCGGCGGCCAUAAUCGAAGCCGAGGACCUUGAUGUAGGAGUUUCUUAGGAAGGGACCUGAUGCUCUGUCAUUGCACGUGAGCUGGAACGACGGUGGGCCGCAAGACGACUGGUUCUGGCUGCCCAGCCAGAAUGGGUAGGUGAUAGUCAGGUUCCCGCAUGUCGCCGGUGGGCAGCUUGGGUCCACG